Molecule: non-coding RNA, 1731 nt
Organism: Punica granatum (pomegranate)
Lineage: Eukaryota; Viridiplantae; Streptophyta; Magnoliopsida; Myrtales; Lythraceae
Source: RefSeq, a predicted model, not a curated record
CUUUAAUUCUUUCUUUCAAAUAUAUCAUUAAAGAAAAAAACUAAAAAAAUAAAUGACUAUCACAUUCUAGAAACCAGAGCGGAAGACGAGGGCUUGUGCGGGGAAGAUCAACAGUGGGCAUGCCGUCAGCCAACGCACCUGCAGACGACUUGACGCAUUAGGCGAGGUUGCCCGGGGGAUAGGUCGCCGGCGGGCUGUCCUCCCAGGCGACCUCGUUGGGGGCAUCCGACGCCCCCGACGAUGUCGUAGGGUGGUCCGUGGACUGCGGGCCGCCCUGCCGCGGAUCUGUCCUUCCCCCUCCUCUCCGAUUCUCUUCGAUUCUUAAAGAGAGAAUUAGGGGGCGUAUUGACGGUGAAGGCACCCCCGCCGAACACUCCCCCCACCCCCCAAGGCGACCUCAGUGGGUCGAGCCCUUUAUGAGGCUUUCUCGUUCCUGAGCCUCUCGUCUCUCUCCCGCUCUCUGUGUUUUCACUGUCCACUCUCUCUUGUACAAUCGCACAACGACAGAAAGAAAGGAAAAAAAAUGAUGAGGAGGAGCUGAGGUGUGAAAGGAGGGAAUCCACCGAACAGGCGAGGCCCCAUUUUUUAUUCUUCCUUGGGAUUCAAUUGGGGGGCAGUUUUAUGAUGUCGAGAUAAUUAACUGCUCAAUCCCUAUCCCUUGAGGAAUUCGCAUGCAAGGUUUUCUCAAAUCUCUCCCUUUUAGCAUCACAAUCGCUUUUGUUUUCUUCGAUUCAUAACUAGCUGUUCAACUCUACUGAUUAGAAGUUUAGCUCACCUUUGUUAGCUAUACUUAACUCUUGCUGCUGUUGAGUUGAAGAGGCUCAAGUAAAUCCCAUACAAUGUAAGAAUUUGAAGUUGCCAUGUGGGGAUUUGAGAACCCAUUGGUUGCUUUUCUGGGGAUUUUGAUUGUCCAUGCAUUGAAUCUCUCAAUCGAUUGAUGGUCUGAAGAAAUGGCACACAUCGAACAAGCAAAAUUCGGGGGCAAUAGGGGGAAUACAAGGACGCUGCGUACGUGACCAUCAAUGAAGUGGAGCCUGGAGGGGAGGGGAGGGGUGGGUGGGGACGCUUGGAAAGCCUCCAAUGAGGUUGCUUGGAAGGCCGGUGAUUGGCGGGAGCCCCCACCGUCGAUUUUCUUCAUGCACCUUGUCUGUCUCUGUAAUUUCCAGAAUCGGGAUUUCUUUUAAUAAUAUAUUUGAAAGAAAGAAUUAGGAAAAAAAAAAGGAAAAAACAAUAUAACGAAGGGAGAUAGAGAGAAAUCACCAAGGCAGUAGCCCAAUUGGUAACGGAUUUCGUCUUCCAAAUGAAAGGUCAAAAGGUCGAAACUCGAUUUAAACACGAAGGCGCUAGCGUUAGUAGACUCUUGUCCUCUAUCCUAUGAGAACUGUUCUGUUCUACUGUGCGCUUUGAUGGGAUCAUGGUGAGUUAUGUCUUAUCGAGCUCUUUAUUUAUUCGGGUGAAUGAAACAUUUUAUGGUGGCUGUGGAGCUCCUCUAAUCUCUAGAGAAAAUUGUUACAUUGAUCUCCUCCUCUUGGUCUUUUAUUUAGCAAAAAAAAAGGGGGGAGAUAGAGAGAAAGAAAGAAUAAAAGUCCAGGAAUUAAUAAAAUAAUGUCACUUCAUUAUUGUCUAUCCAGUUUUUAACGGUAGAGUGACAGGGGGGUCAUUGUAAUGUAUAUUUAUUUGGUCAAGGGCAAAUGGGACGUAAAAAAAUGGCUCGAGAUAACUUUGAUGAAA